RNAcentral lists this ribosomal RNA (1019 nucleotides) under Pythium aphanidermatum. Its description in RNAcentral is "bacterial SSU rRNA". The stretch from base 1 to 328 matches the Rfam family "Eukaryotic small subunit ribosomal RNA", at positions 1506 to 1831 of the family's 1831-position model. Lineage: Eukaryota; Oomycota; Peronosporomycetes; Pythiales; Pythiaceae. The record is from RNAcentral.
AUGCGUUCAGCGAGUAUACAACCUUGAUCGAUAGGUCUGGGUAAUCUUGUGAAUGCGCAUCGUGCUAGGGAUAGAUUGUUGCAAUUUUCAAUCUUGAACGAGGAAUUCCUAGUAAACGCAAGUCAUCAGCUUGCAUUGAUUACGUCCCUGCCCUUUGUACACACCGCCCGUCGCACCUACCGAUUGAAUGACUCGGUGAGAAAUCGGGACCGUGAGUCCGUUUGCUUCAUUGCGAGUGGACUGAUGGGAACUUUUUCUAACCUCGCCAUUUAGAGGAAGGUGAAGUCGUAACAAGGUUUCCGUAGGUGAACCUGCGGAAGGAUCAUUACCACACCAUAAAAACUUUCCACGUGAACCGUUGAAAUCAUGUUCUGUGCUCUCUUUCGGGAGGGCUGAACGAAGGUGGGCUGCUUAAUUGUAGUCUGCCGAUGUAUUUUUCAAACCCAUUUACCUAAUACUGAUCUAUACUCCAAAAACGAAAGUUUAUGGUUUUAAUCUAUAACAACUUUCAGCAGUGGAUGUCUAGGCUCGCACAUCGAUGAAGAACGCUGCGAACUGCGAUACGUAAUGCGAAUUGCAGAAUUCAGUGAGUCAUCGAAAUUUUGAACGCACAUUGCACUUUCGGGUUAUGCCUGGAAGUAUGCCUGUAUCAGUGUCCGUACAUCAAACUUGCCUUUCUUUUUCUGUGUAGUCAGGGAGAGAGAUGGCAGAAUGUGAGGUGUCUCGCUGGCUCCCUUUUCGGAGGAGAAGACGCGAGUCCCUUUAAAUGUACGUUCGCUCUUUCUUGUGUCUAAGAUGAAGUGUGAUUCUCGAAUCGCGGUGAUCUGUUUGGAUCGCUUUGCGCAUUUGGGCGACUUCGGUUAGGACAUUAAAGGAAGCAACCUCUAUUGGCGGUAUGUUAGGCUUCGGCCCGACGUUGCAGCUGACAGAGUGUGGUUUUCUGUUCUUUCCUUGAGGUGUACCUGAAUUGUGUGAGGCAAUGGUCUGGGCAAAUGGUUGCUGUGUAGUAGGGUUUUGCU